Molecule: transfer RNA, 87 nt
Filed under: Streptomyces litmocidini
Lineage: Bacteria; Bacillati; Actinomycetota; Actinomycetes; Kitasatosporales; Streptomycetaceae
Description: tRNA-Gly
Source: RNAcentral
UGGAGCAGUAGCCCGGGGAGCGGGAGCUCCCGGCUCCUGCUCGGUACGGGCCGCUUCGUACGGGCCGUUCGGUGCGGGCCGCUUCGU